RNAcentral lists this non-coding RNA (71 nucleotides) under Nocardioides sp. AX2bis. RNAcentral's name for it is "Actino-pnp". It matches the Rfam family "Actino-pnp RNA". The record is from RNAcentral. Lineage: Bacteria; Bacillati; Actinomycetota; Actinomycetes; Propionibacteriales; Nocardioidaceae.
CCCGGUCCUCGGUAGUGACCAGCAGGACCCCGCCCCGCGCGGGCCGCCUGCGGUCUCGAUCGAAGACCGGC